Molecule: transfer RNA, 71 nt
Filed under: Gemmatimonadota bacterium
Lineage: Bacteria; Pseudomonadati; Gemmatimonadota
Also listed under: 2 other names
Description: Gemmatimonadetes bacterium tRNA-Gln
Rfam family: tRNA
About the family: Transfer RNA (tRNA) molecules are approximately 80 nucleotides in length. Their secondary structure includes four short double-helical elements and three loops (D, anti-codon, and T loops).
Source: RNAcentral
UGGCCCCUCGUCCAAUGGCAGGACUCCGGCCUUUGGAGCCGGCAAUGGUGGUUCGAAUCCACCGGGGCCAA